GAUACGACCGUACCGCAAACCGACACUGGUGCGCGAGAUGAGUAUUCUAAGGCGCUUGAGAGAACUCAGGAGAAGGAACUCGGCAAAUUGACACCGUAACUUCGGAAGAAGGUGUGCCCUAUUAGUGUGUAGUGAACAACGAAGCAUGAAUGGGUUGCAAAAAAUCGGUGGCUGCGACUGUUUAUUAAAAACACAGCACUCUGCAAACACGAAAGUGGACGUAUAGGGUGUGACGCCUGCCCGGUGCUGGAAGAUUAAAUGAUGGGGUGCAAGCUCUUGAUUGAAGUCCCAGUAAACGGCGGCCGUAACAAUAACGGUCCUAAGGUAGCGAAAUUCCUUGUCGGGUAAGUUCCGACCUGCACGAAUGGCGUAACGAUGGCCACACUGUCUCCUCCUGAGACUCAGCGAAGUUGAAAUGUUUGUGAUGAUGCAAUCUCCCCGCGGAAAGACGGAAAGACCCCAUGAACCUUUACUGUAGCUUUGUAUUGGACUUUGAACAGAUCUGUGUAGGAUAGGUGGGAGGCUUUGAAGCAGGGUCGCUAGAUCUUGUGGAGCCAACGUUGAAAUACCACCCUGGUGUGUUUGAGGUUCUAACCUAGGUCCAUUAUCUGGAUCGGGGACAGUGCAUGGUAGGCAGUUUGACUGGGGCGGUCUCCUCCCAAAGCGUAACGGAGGAGUUCGAAGGUACGCUAGUUACGGUCGGACAUCGUGACGAUAGUGCAAUGGCAUAAGCGUGCUUAACUGCGAGACUGACAAGUCGAGCAGAUGCGAAAGCAGGACAUAGUGAUCCGGUGGUUCUGUAUGGAAGGGCCAUCGCUCAACGGAUAAAAGGUACUCUGGGGAUAACAGGCUGAUACCGCCCAAGAGUUCAUAUCGACGGCGGUGUUUGGCACCUCGAUGUCGGCUCAUCUCAUCCUGGGGCUGUAGCCGGUCCCAAGGGUAUGGCUGUUCGCCAUUUAAAGAGGUACGUGAGCUGGGUUUAAAACGUCGUGAGACAGUUUGGUCCCUAUCUUCCGUGGGCGCUGCAGAUUUGAGGAAGCCUGCUCCUAGUACGAGAGGACCGGAGUGGACACACCUCUGGUGUAUCGGUUGUCACGCCAGUGGCAUUGCCGAGUAGCUAAGUGUGGAAGAGAUAACCGCUGAAAGCAUCUAAGCGGGAAACUCGUUUCAAGAUGAGAUCUGCCGGGGCCUUGAGCCCCCUAAAGAGUCGUUCAAGACCAGGACGUUGAUAGGUCAGGUGUGGAAGCGAAAAG
RNAcentral lists this ribosomal RNA (1253 nucleotides) under metagenome. Its description in RNAcentral is "bacterial LSU rRNA". It matches the Rfam family "Bacterial large subunit ribosomal RNA", at positions 1635 to 2880 of the family's 2925-position model. The record is from RNAcentral.